Molecule: transfer RNA, 65 nt
Filed under: Marmota monax (woodchuck)
Lineage: Eukaryota; Metazoa; Chordata; Mammalia; Rodentia; Sciuridae
Description: tRNA.Thr
Source: RNAcentral
GGGUAGCUCAGUGGUAGAGCGCUUGCCUGGUCUGUGUGGGGCCCUGGGCUCAAUCCCCAGCACCA